AGUAAAAGUCGUAACAAGGUUUCCGUAGGUGAACCUGCGGAAGGAUCAUUACAAAUGUCUGGGAUGUCCAAUCGGGCCCCCAAGCAAACACAUCCAUGUGUACACUCCCAUGUUGCUUCCCCAGAUCAGUGGCCACUGCUGCCAGCCCACCCCCUCAAUUGGGGUCCUGGGUUGAGGUGUCUGGGGAAGGGCCCAAUAACAAACCUUUGAACCAAUUAGUUGUCUGAGUAGGCCACCCGCCGCAAUCUUUAAAACAUGUUAAAACUUUCAACAACGGAUCUCUUGGCUCUCGCAUCGAUGAAGAACGCAGCGAAAUGCGAUAAGUAAUGUGAAUUGCAGAAUUCAGUGAAUCAUCGAAUCUUUGAACGCACAUUGCGCCCUUUGGUAUUCCUUAGGGCAUGCCUGUUCGAGCGUCACUAACAACCCCCUCACAGAUAGUGUGGUAUUGGUAGAAGUGAUCGGUAUUAGCAUUAGCGCAUUUCAAUAAGCUGAAGUGCAUAUCAAUAAGCGGAGGUGAAUAUCAAUAAGCGGCAGUGCAUAUCAAUAAGCGGAGGAGCAUAUCAAUAAGCGGAGGAGCAUAUCAAUAGCGGAGGAG
RNAcentral lists this ribosomal RNA (595 nucleotides) under uncultured Tuber. Its description in RNAcentral is "eukaryotic LSU rRNA". The stretch from base 263 to 416 matches the Rfam family "5.8S ribosomal RNA". Lineage: Eukaryota; Fungi; Ascomycota; Pezizomycetes; Pezizales; Tuberaceae. The record is from RNAcentral.